AGAGCGAACGCUGGCGGCAGGCCUAACACAUGCAAGUCGAACGGACUCUUCGGAGUUAGUGGCGGACGGGUGAGUAACACGUGGGAACGUGCCUUUAGGUUCGGAAUAGCUCCUGGAAACGGGUGGUAAUACCGAAUGUGCCCUUCGGGGGAAAGAUUUAUCGCCUUUAGAGCAGCCCGCGUCUGAUUAGCUUGUUGGUGAGGUAAUGGCUCACCAAGGCUACGAUCAGUAGCUGGUCUGAGAGGAUGACCAGCCACAUUGGGACUGAGACACGGCCCAAACUCCUACGGGAGGCAGCAGUGGGGAAUAUUGGACAAUGGGCGCAAGCCUGAUCCAGCAAUGCCGCGUGAGUGAUGAAGGCCUUAGGGUUGUAAAGCUUCUUUUACCCGAGAUGAUAAUGACAGUAGUCGGAGAAUAACGCCCGGACUAACGUCCGUGCCCAGCAGCCGACGGU
RNAcentral lists this ribosomal RNA (454 nucleotides) under uncultured soil bacterium. RNAcentral's name for it is "bacterial SSU rRNA". It matches the Rfam family "Bacterial small subunit ribosomal RNA", at positions 26 to 521 of the family's 1533-position model. The record is from RNAcentral.